AAGCCUCUCUAUCCUCCUCUCCCUUUCCCCUUCUUCAAUUUCCAAUUUCGAAAACCUCAGAUUUCCACUAUGAUUUAACACCCAAUUCCAAAAACCCAACCUUUCCCAAAAAAUUUCCCCCUUUUUCUGUACAUUUAUACAGAGUCAACAAUACCCGUACUGAUAGAUUCAAAACCCAAUGGCGGCCGUCAGUUCCCUGUCUUUCCCGGCAAUCGGCCAAACUUCCGGCGACAGAAAACUUAAU
Molecule: long non-coding RNA, 244 nt
Filed under: Gossypium barbadense (sea-island cotton)
Lineage: Eukaryota; Viridiplantae; Streptophyta; Magnoliopsida; Malvales; Malvaceae
Description: long non-coding RNA (GBAR_LNC015788)
Source: RNAcentral